This 424-nucleotide ribosomal RNA is filed under the name Fusobacteriota bacterium. Its description in RNAcentral is "Fusobacteria bacterium partial 16S ribosomal RNA". It matches the Rfam family "Bacterial small subunit ribosomal RNA", at positions 355 to 776 of the family's 1533-position model. The record is from RNAcentral. Lineage: Bacteria; Fusobacteriati; Fusobacteriota.
UGAGGAAUAUUGGUCAAUGGGCGAGAGCCUGAACCAGCCAAGUAGCGUGCAGGAUGACGGCCCUAUGGGUUGUAAACUGCUUUUAUGUGGGGAUAAAGUGCGUGACGUGUCAUGCAUUGCAGGUACCACAUGAAUAAGGACCGGCUAAUUCCGUGCCAGCAGCCGCGGUAAUACGGAAGGUCCGGGCGUUAUCCGGAUUUAUUGGGUUUAAAGGGAGCGUAGGCUGUCUAUUAAGCGUGUUGUGAAAUUUACCGGCUCAACCGGUGACUUGCAGCGCGAACUGGUCGACUUGAGUAUGCAGGAAGUAGGCGGAAUUCAUGGUGUAGCGGUGAAAUGCUUAGAUAUCAUGACGAACUCCGAUUGCGCAGGCAGCUUACUGUAGCAUAACUGACGCUGAUGCUCGAAAGUGCGGGUAUCAAACAGG